RNAcentral lists this transfer RNA (69 nucleotides) under Evermannella indica (Indian sabertooth). Its description in RNAcentral is "tRNA-Met". It matches the Rfam family "tRNA". From Rfam's summary of the family: Transfer RNA (tRNA) molecules are approximately 80 nucleotides in length. Their secondary structure includes four short double-helical elements and three loops (D, anti-codon, and T loops). The record is from RNAcentral. Lineage: Eukaryota; Metazoa; Chordata; Actinopteri; Aulopiformes; Evermannellidae.
AGCAAGAUCAGCUAAAUAAGCUCUUGGGCUCAUAUCCCGAAAAUAUUGGUUAAAACCCUUUUCCUGCUA